UGGGGGAUAUUGCACAAUGGGCGAAAGCCUGAUGCAGCGACGCCGCGUGGGGGAUGAAGGCCUUCGGGUUGUAAACUUCUUUUGCUCUGAACAAGGCAUGCUAAUGGGUGUGUUGAGUGUAGGGGUUGAUUAGCGCCGGCUAACUACGUGCCAGCAGCCGCGGUAAUACGUAGGGCGCGAGCGUUGUCCGGAAUUAUUGGGCGUAAAGGGCUUGUAGGUGGCUGGUUGCGUCUGUCGUGAAAGCUCAUGGCUUAACUGUGGGUUUGCGGUGGGUACGGGCUGGCUUGAGUGCAGUAGGGGAGGCUGGAAUUCCUGGUGUAGCGGUGGAAUGCGCAGAUAGCAGGAGGAAUACCGGUGGCGAAGGCGGGUCUCUGGGCUGUUACUGACACUGAGGAGCGAAAGCAUGGGGAGCGAGCAGG
This 419-nucleotide ribosomal RNA is filed under the name bacterium. Its description in RNAcentral is "partial 16S ribosomal RNA". It matches the Rfam family "Bacterial small subunit ribosomal RNA", at positions 355 to 776 of the family's 1533-position model. The record is from RNAcentral.